UACGUAGGGUGCAGGCGUUAAUCGGAAUUACUGGGCGUAAAGCGUGCGCAGGCGGUUUGUUAAGACAGGCGUGAAAUCCCCGGGCUCAACCUGGGAACUGCGCUUGUGACUGGCAGGCUAGAGUACGGCAGAGGGGGGUGGAAUUCCACGUGUAGCAGUGAAAUGCGUAGAGAUGUGGAGGAACACCAAUGGCGAAGGCAGCCCCCUGGGUCGAUACUGACGCUCAUGCACGAAAGCGUGGGUAGCAAACAGG
Molecule: ribosomal RNA, 253 nt
Filed under: uncultured bacterium
Lineage: Bacteria
Description: partial 16S ribosomal RNA
Rfam family: Bacterial small subunit ribosomal RNA
Source: RNAcentral